Molecule: ribosomal RNA, 253 nt
Filed under: uncultured bacterium
Lineage: Bacteria
Description: partial 16S ribosomal RNA
Rfam family: Bacterial small subunit ribosomal RNA
Source: RNAcentral
UACGUAGGGUGCAAGCGUUAAUCGGAAUUACUGGGCGUAAAGCGUGCGCAGGCGGCUAUGCAAGACAGAUGUGAAAUCCCCGGGCUCAACCUGGGAACUGCAUUUGUGACUGUACGGCUAGAGUGUGUCAGAGGGGGGUAGAAUUCCACGUGUAGCAGUGAAAUGCGUAGAGAUGUGGAGGAAUACCGAUGGCGAAGGCAGCCCCCUGGGAUAACACUGACGCUCAUGCACGAAAGCGUGGGGAGCAAACAGG